RNAcentral lists this transfer RNA (76 nucleotides) under bacterium. RNAcentral describes it as "tRNA-Val". It matches the Rfam family "tRNA". Rfam says of the family: Transfer RNA (tRNA) molecules are approximately 80 nucleotides in length. Their secondary structure includes four short double-helical elements and three loops (D, anti-codon, and T loops). Further hydrogen bonds mediate the characteristic L-shaped molecular structure. tRNAs have two regions of fundamental functional importance: the anti-codon, which is responsible for specific mRNA codon recognition, and the 3' end, to which the tRNAs corresponding amino acid is attached (by aminoacyl-tRNA synthetases). tRNAs cope with the degeneracy of the genetic code in two manners: having more than one tRNA (with a specific anti-codon) for a particular amino acid; and 'wobble' base-pairing, i.e. permitting non-standard base-pairing at the 3rd anti-codon position. The record is from RNAcentral. RNAcentral also lists the same sequence under 1 other name.
GGGCGGUUAGCUCAGCUGGGAGAGCACCUGCCUUACAAGCAGGGGGUCACAAGUUCGAUCCUUGUACCGCCCACCA